This 372-nucleotide ribosomal RNA is filed under the name uncultured organism. Its description in RNAcentral is "partial 16S ribosomal RNA". It matches the Rfam family "Bacterial small subunit ribosomal RNA", at positions 527 to 896 of the family's 1533-position model. The record is from RNAcentral.
GGAGGGUGCAAGCGUUGUCCGGAAUCACUGGGUGUAAAGGGUGUGUAGGCGGGGCGGCAAGUCAGAGGUGAAAUCCUACAGCUCAACUGUAGAACUGCCUCUGAUACUGCUGUUCUUGAGUUUCGGAGAGGUCACUAGAAUUCGUGGUGUAGCGGUGAAAUGCGCAGAUAUCACGAGGAAUACCAGAGGCGUAGGCGGGUGACUGGACGAAUACUGACGCUGAGGCACGAAAGCGUGGGGAGCAAACAGGAUUAGAUACCCUGGUAGUCCCACGCCGUAAACGAUGGAUGCUCGGUGUCGCGCCUUUUUUUGGCGCGUUGCCCAAGCUAACGCGUUAAGCAUCCCCACCUGGGGAGUACGCUCGCAAGAGUG